GGUUAAGCGACUAAGCGUACACGGUGGAUGCCCUGGCAGUCAGAGGCGAUGAAGGACGUGCUAAUCUGCGAUAAGCGUCGGUAAGGUGAUAUGAACCGUUAUAACCGGCGAUUUCCGAAUGGGGAAACCCAGUGUGAUUCGUCACACUAUCAUUAACUGAAUCCAUAGGUUAAUGAGGCGAACCGGGGGAACUGAAACAUCUAAGUACCCCGAGGAAAAGAAAUCAACCGAGAUUCCCCCAGUAGCGGCGAGCGAACGGGGAGCAGCCCAGAGCCUGAAUCAGUGUGUGUGUUAGUGGAAGCGUCUGGAAAGGCGUGCGAUACAGGGUGACAGCCCCGUACACAAAAAUGCACAUACUGUGAGCUCGAUGAGUAGGGCGGGACACGUGGUAUCCUGUCUGAAUAUGGGGGGACCAUCCUCCAAGGCUAAAUACUCCUGACUGACCGAUAGUGAACCAGUACCGUGAGGGAAAGGCGAAAAGAACCCCGGCGAGGGGAGUGAAAAAGAACCUGAAACCGUGUACGUACAAGCAGUGGGAGCACGCUUAGGCGUGUGACUGCGUACCUUUUGUAUAAUGGGUCAGCGACUUAUAUUCUGUAGCAAGGUUAACCGAAUAGGGGAGCCGAAGGGAAACCGAGUCUUAACUGGGCGUUAAGUUGCAGGGUAUAGACCCGAAACCCGGUGAUCUAGCCAUGGGCAGGUUGAAGGUUGGGUAACACUAACUGGAGGACCGAACCGACUAAUGUUGAAAAAUUAGCGGAUGACUUGUGGCUGGGGGUGAAAGGCCAAUCAAACCGGGAGAUAGCUGGUUCUCCCCGAAAGCUAUUUAGGUAGCGCCUCGUGAAUUCAUCUCCGGGGGUAGAGCACUGUUUCGGCAAGGGGGUCAUCCCGACUUACCAACCCGAUGCAAACUGCGAAUACCGGAGAAUGUUAUCACGGGAGACACACGGCGGGUGCUAACGUCCGUCGUGAAGAGGGAAACAACCCAGACCGCCAGCUAAGGUCCCAAAGUCAUGGUUAAGUGGGAAACGAUGUGGGAAGGCCCAGACAGCCAGGAUGUUGGCUUAGAAGCAGCCAUCAUUUAAAGAAAGCGUAAUAGC
Molecule: ribosomal RNA, 1100 nt
Filed under: Shigella flexneri
Lineage: Bacteria; Pseudomonadati; Pseudomonadota; Gammaproteobacteria; Enterobacterales; Enterobacteriaceae
Description: partial 23S ribosomal RNA
Rfam family: Bacterial large subunit ribosomal RNA
Source: RNAcentral